AUCUAUGGCCAUACCACUCUAAAUGCACAUAAUUGUUUAUGAUCUUGGAAGCUAAGCAGGGUCCAACUUGAAAGGGAGAAUUUAACUUAGAUUGAUGUGGGUG
This 103-nucleotide ribosomal RNA is filed under the name Fukomys damarensis (Damara mole-rat). The record is from RNAcentral. Lineage: Eukaryota; Metazoa; Chordata; Mammalia; Rodentia; Bathyergidae.